RNAcentral lists this ribosomal RNA (396 nucleotides) under uncultured bacterium. RNAcentral's name for it is "bacterial SSU rRNA". It matches the Rfam family "Bacterial small subunit ribosomal RNA", at positions 29 to 409 of the family's 1533-position model. The record is from RNAcentral.
AACGAACGCUGGCGGCGUGCCUAACACAUGCAAGUCGAACGAGAAAGGGGCUUCGGCUCCGAGUAAAGUGGCGCACGGGUGAGUAACACGUAGGUAACCUGCCUCUAAGAUUGGGAUAACCUGUCGAAAGACGGGCUAAUACCGAAUAAGACCACAGCUUCCUCAGAAGCAGGGGUCAAAGGUAGCCUCUACUUGUAAGCUAUCACUUAGAGAUGGGCCUGCGUACCAUUAGCUAGNGGUGGGGUAACGGCCUACCAAGGCGAAGAUGGUUAGCUGGUCUGAGAGGAUGAUCAGCCACACUGGAACUGAGACACGGUCCAGACUCCUACGGGAGGCAGCAGUGGGGAAUAUUGCGCAAUGGGCGAAAGCCUGACGCAGCAACGCCGCGUGAGUGAU